UGAAUCAUCACGGCUCUCUUUUUUGCGAC
RNAcentral lists this small RNA (29 nucleotides) under Bombyx mori (domestic silkworm). RNAcentral's name for it is "piRNA piR-bmo-2090128". Lineage: Eukaryota; Metazoa; Arthropoda; Insecta; Lepidoptera; Bombycidae. The record is from RNAcentral.